AAUGUUAUGCUAUGAUGAUUUUACGAGUAGGAAUCUCACUGAGCUUCAGUCAUUCGUUGCCAUGAAAUAAACUUAAUCUCUACUGAUUCUAUUAUU
Molecule: small nucleolar RNA, 96 nt
Organism: Drosophila subobscura
Lineage: Eukaryota; Metazoa; Arthropoda; Insecta; Diptera; Drosophilidae
Product: small nucleolar RNA Me28S-Am2634
Exons: 1
Source: RefSeq, a predicted model, not a curated record